CCUGACUGGAACAAGCUUCUCCUCUCUCUUUGAUGUGAACGAUACAAAACAUACUUAACGAAGAUCUGUUAUCAUCAAACAAUCCAACAUUAAAAAAAAGAAACAAGUUGAAGACUCCAUUGUGAGUAGAAUGUCGAGAAGCUUUAAGAGUAUAUGCUGCAUAGGAAGUUACUCUGAAAAUACAUGAAAAACAUUUAAUAAUAAACAUUGCAGGGAAAAAUAGUGACAUGCAUCACGUGUAACUGUAUCAGAUGGAACGACUACAAUGUACCAACAUCAUACCAUACGGCAAUUAAGAUUAUAGUACACUAUAAUUUUAUUACAUGACAAGAGGCUUCAUAUUUUGCAUUUUGAAAAGGGCACUAUAGUCACCCAGACCAUUUCAUCUCAUGGAAGCAGACUGGGUGCAGGGUGCCUGCCCCUCUUAGUCCUGCAAUGUAAAACAUGUUUUUAAGAAACUGCACAGUUUACAUUGUGGAACUAAGACUGCCCCCAGUGGCAGCUCGCUACCGGGAGUCUAUGGGAUUCCGAGUCUCUGCUUGAGGACAUCCAGCAUCAGUUAAAUCCCCAUAGGAAAGCAUUGAUUCAAUGAUUUCCUAAUGCAUGCGCAUAAGUUUCCUCCCCCAUUGGAUGAUAGUGGUGAGUAAAUUAAGGGUUGUUUAACUCUUUAUCUGCUGGAGGACCCCCUGACUAUAACAGAUACUAGCAGAAAUAUUUAUACAUAAAUAAAAUAUAUUAAAUAAUUACCUCCCGGCUAUAUGAGAUACUAGCAGACAUAUUUAUACAUAAAUAAAAUGUAUUAAAUACAUAUCCCCUGGCUAUAUUAACUACUAG
Non-coding RNA from Pelobates cultripes (western spadefoot toad), 834 nucleotides. NCBI's taxonomy places the organism in Eukaryota, Metazoa, Chordata, Amphibia, Anura, Pelobatidae. The record is from the annotation of a GenBank genome assembly.